GAUGAACGCUGGCGGCGUGCUUAACACAUGCAAGUCGAACGGAAAGGCCCAAGCUUUCUUGGGCACUCGUGUGGCGAACGGGUGAGUAACACGCGGGUGAACUGCCCUGCACUUCGGGAUAAGCCUUGGAAACUGGGUCUCAUACUGGAUAGGAUCACUUCUUGGAUGGUGUGGAGUAGAGAUUUUCCGGUGUGGGAUGAGGUCGCGGCGGAUCAGCUUGUUGGUGGGGUAGUGGCAUACCAAGGCGUCGACGGGUAGCCGGCCUGAUAGAGUGGACGGCCGCAUUAGAACUGUGAUACGGGCCAGACUCGUACGGGAGGCGGAAUGGGGGAAUAUUUCACAAUGGGAGCAAGCGUGAGGCAUGGAGGCCGCGUGAGGGAUGACGGCCGUCAGUUGGUAAGCACCAAUCUCUAAGGACGUAGGGAUGUUGUGACGGUACCUGGAGAAGAAGCACCGGCUAACUACGUG
RNAcentral lists this ribosomal RNA (468 nucleotides) under uncultured bacterium. RNAcentral describes it as "partial 16S ribosomal RNA". It matches the Rfam family "Bacterial small subunit ribosomal RNA", at positions 28 to 507 of the family's 1533-position model. The record is from RNAcentral.